This 57-nucleotide transfer RNA is filed under the name Ovis aries (sheep). It matches the Rfam family "tRNA", at positions 8 to 63 of the family's 71-position model. From Rfam's summary of the family: Transfer RNA (tRNA) molecules are approximately 80 nucleotides in length. Their secondary structure includes four short double-helical elements and three loops (D, anti-codon, and T loops). Lineage: Eukaryota; Metazoa; Chordata; Mammalia; Artiodactyla; Bovidae. The record is from Rfam by way of RNAcentral.
UGUCUUAGUCAGUAAAGAAUCUGCUUGCAAUGCAGAAGACCCGGGUUUGAUCCCUGG